This is a small nuclear RNA of Jaculus jaculus (lesser Egyptian jerboa), 107 nucleotides long. NCBI's taxonomy places the organism in Eukaryota, Metazoa, Chordata, Mammalia, Rodentia, Dipodidae. The record is from Ensembl.
GUGCUCACUUUGGUAGCACAUAUACUAAAAUUGGAUUGAUUUGGAAAAUAUUAGCAUGUCCUCUGCCCAAGACUGACAUGCAAACCUGUGAAGUGUUCCAUAUUUUU